This 274-nucleotide ribosomal RNA is filed under the name uncultured bacterium. RNAcentral describes it as "partial 16S ribosomal RNA". It matches the Rfam family "Archaeal small subunit ribosomal RNA", at positions 473 to 747 of the family's 1478-position model. The record is from RNAcentral.
AAACCAGCACCUCAAGUGGUCAGGAGGAUUAUUGGGCCUAAAGCAUCUGUAGCCUGUUCUGUAAGUUUUCGGUUAAAUCCAUUAGCUCAACUAAUGGGCCGCCGAAAAUACUGUAGAACUAGGGAGUGGGAGAGGUAGACGGUAUUCGGUAGGAAGGGGUAAAAUCCUUUGAUCUAUUGAGGACCACCUGUGGCGAAGGCGGUCUACCAGAACACGUUCGACGGUGAGGGAUGAAAGCUGGGGGAGCAAACCGGAUUAGAAACCCCUGUAGUCC